Molecule: transfer RNA, 82 nt
Filed under: Azoarcus sp.
Lineage: Bacteria; Pseudomonadati; Pseudomonadota; Betaproteobacteria; Rhodocyclales; Zoogloeaceae
Also listed under: 1 other name
Description: tRNA-Leu
Rfam family: tRNA
About the family: Transfer RNA (tRNA) molecules are approximately 80 nucleotides in length.
Source: RNAcentral
GCGAGAGUGGCGGAAUGGGUAGACGCACUGGAUUUAGGUUCCAGCGCCGCAAGGCGUGGGGGUUCGAGUCCCUUCUCUCGCA